GGCCCAGCGAUAUGCUACAGCAACAAUGCCUUAUCCUCUCCGCUACUCCAUCCUCCACAUUCUUCGUCUCCACAGCAACCACACAUAAGAUUUCUUUAUCCAUUUCUUCAUCUUCAUUUUCUUUUUAUGCUUAUUCUUGGCUUUGUUCGGCCUCUGUGCGAUUCGGUACGCAGAGGUCUCUUUUGCCGUAUCCUUCUCACUCUCCGAGUGUGACAGUCAUGGCGGAGAUGGUUCGGGACAAGGAGUCUGCCAACAAGAAUGUGGCGUCCUAUCGCGGAGAGAGGACGAACGAGCCGAGCCUCUCGCGCACCUUUCUCGAUGCGAGCUCUGAAGAAGAGCUGCUGGCAGGAAUCAAGAAGGAAAGAGAAGCAGGAAGACUGCCUUCAAAUGUUGCUAUGGGGAUGGAAAUAUUGUAUCGCAAUUAUAAAAAAGCGGUUUUCCAAAGUGGAAAUCCAAGGGCUGAUGAGAUAGUGUUGUCAAAUAUGACUGUUGUGCUAGAUCGCAUAUUUUUCGAUGUUGAGGAACCUUUUGACUUCUCACCAUAUCACAAAGCACUGCGAGAGCCUUUCGACUACUACUUAUUUGGUCAAAACUAUAUUCGUCCUUUAGUUGAUUUCAGAACUUCAUAUGUUGGCAACAUUUCCCUCUUCUAUGAGAUGGAAGAGAAGCUUCAGCAGGGUCACAAUAUUGUCUUGAUGUCAAACCACCAAACUGAAGCAGACCCAGCUAUCAUUGCAUUGUUACUUGAAGCAAGAUACCCACAUAUUGCUGAGAGCAUGACCUAUGUAGCAGGGGAUAGAGUUCUGAUAGAUCCUCUUUGCAAGCCCUUCAGCAUGGGAAGGAAUCUUAUUUGUGUGUACUCGAAAAAGCACAUGUAUGAUGCUCCUGAGCUGGUUGAGAUGAAAAGAAAAGCAAACACGCGAAGUUUGAAGGAAAUGGCUUUACUUUUAAGGGGUGGAUCACAAAUAAUAUGGAUUGCACCAAGUGGUGGUAGGGAUCGACCAGAUCUUCACACAAAAGAAUGGUAUCCAGCACCCUUUGAUGUUUCUUCAGUGGACAAUAUGAGAAGGCUUGCAGAACAUUCUGGUACUCCUGGGCAUAUAUACCCAUUAGCAUUAUUGUGUCAUGACAUAAUGCCGCCUCCACCCCAGAUAGAAAAAGAAAUUGGAGAGGAAAGAGUCAUCUCCUUUCAUGGGGUUGGCUUAUCAGUGGCACCAGGCAUCAACUUCUCUGAAAUUGCUGCUGUCUGUGAGAACCCUGAAGAGCAGGCUAAAGAGGCAUACACAAAAGCGCUAUAUAAUUCUGUGACUGAGCAAUACAAUGUUCUCAAAUCUGCUAUACAUGGUAAACAAGGACUAUCGGCAUCUAUUCCAAGUGUUUCCUUGUCACAGCCAUGGUAUCAGUGAACCUUUAUAGCAAGGAUUAUUAUUGUGGUAAUGUCUCUUCAUCUCAAAGUGCAACUCAGGCAUCUACUUCAACUGGCUGCUCUCCAACUAAAGUGUAUUGUAAUCCAGGGGCUUUCUUCUUGAACAUAAUUUCUCAAUUCAACCAAAUGGCUGCUGGCCCUGCAAAACAAGUAGUAUUCAGUGUGAGAGGAAGCCUAUCUCUCCAUGUCCAAUGACUUGAUGGAAGUACCAUCUAUCACCUUGUCUUUUUCUCUGCAUAUGCAGAUAUGCUCUGGUGCAACUGAAUUCAUCGAUCAGAAACUGGAAUUUUCAGAAGUUCAAUUUUGCAGUAUCAGGCACUGGAGGGAAGAUCAGUUUCAGGCAUUUGCUGUACAGAUCUGUAUUAAAUUGUUGUAAGAAGACUUCAGACAGCUGUUAUAGGUAAUGAAUGUGUAUAUUCUGCUCAUAUUAUAUUUUAUGUGUACCAUAAAUCAGAUAUCAAACAAACCUCUCCGUGUUCCUAAUCCUUUUUUGAAAUAAGAGAUCUUAAAACUUUCAGUUUGCA
Carya illinoinensis is the source of this 1950-nucleotide RNA transcript. It is a transcript of the gene named glycerol-3-phosphate acyltransferase ATS12, chloroplastic-like, with no coding region annotated. The transcript is spliced from 14 exons. The record is from RefSeq and is a predicted model, not a curated record. Lineage: Eukaryota; Viridiplantae; Streptophyta; Magnoliopsida; Fagales; Juglandaceae.